This is a long non-coding RNA of Bos indicus x Bos taurus (hybrid cattle), 1097 nucleotides long. Lineage: Eukaryota; Metazoa; Chordata; Mammalia; Artiodactyla; Bovidae. The record is from Ensembl.
ACUUAGACUCAUUCUAAAAAACAUUUACAAAUAGAAACUAUAGUUAAUCACUAAAACGUGACCAAUCAAAAUGUUAAAAUUGUUGGAAAAUAUAUGAUUGGAUGGAUACAUGUGAUCUCAAAGUAGUGAAGAACUUCUUCAAAAAGACAAAACAGCAAAGGCCACAAAGAAAGUUGAUAAGGUAUCUUACACCAAAAUUAAAGUCCUCUGCACGAUACAAGCCACUGAAAUAAAAUUUAAGGCCAAGGGAUAGUUUUAAAGAUAUUUUCAACCUAUAUAAAACAUACAUGAUAUGCAUUAAACAUAUAUGAUAUGAUAUAUUUUUAAAAAGAAGAUCUGGGGGGGAAAAGGAGCACCAAUACUUAAGAGGUAGGCAAAGGAAGAGAAGCCUGCAAAAAUAUGGGGAAAAAGUAGCAAUUUAGAUAGAAAAGAACCUAAAAAAUAACCUGUAUCAUAGGACCCCUCAAAAUUGUGUUUUGAGAAAGGGAAAACACCCACGGUUUCAAAAUUCAGAAGUUUUAAGACUUUAGAAAAAGAGGUAUAACCUCUAACAUCCUCAGGGGGCGCUGACCAGCUCAUCAGCCUCUGAGCCUAUCUCUCCUGGUUCAAAGCCCCUAGGGUUCUAAUCCUCAUGCUCAAUCUGAUCCGAGCCUUCUGGCACACGCCACUCUUCCAAAUUACAGCUCCCUCUUCCUGACAACUGAUGCUCUUUUCUAUACCAGCUUCUCCUUUCUGCUUCAUUGUAACCCUAUCUGCCCAUCUGAAUCCUUCUCCUUGUGGGUGAGAGAAUAGUGAGGGCAAUGAAAGCACAUCUUAAUACCUUUGAAAAUGGAAUUUUUACUUCUUUGCAGGAAAGCUGUUGCAGCAGCAGCAGCAGAUCACUAACAGAUAUGCCUGGGAGAGAUUCAGGCUUCGUUCCUGAUCUAAAACUUAAAGCUGGGAAAAGAUAGUCUCAAAAGACAGCAAAAAUGUGUGAAGGGAAUUUCAGAAGCUGUCACUCUGGGCACAUCCUAACUUCAAUAUCAACACACCUGGUGAGUUUAAAGGAACAUAAUGCUAUUCAUCACAAUGAUGGGAACAGUUUUUGAAAAGAAAGA